UACGAAGGGGGCUAGCGUUGCUCGGAAUCACUGGGCGUAAAGCGCACGUAGGCGGCUUUCUAAGUCAGGGGUGAAAUCCUGGAGCUCAACUCCAGAACUGCCUUUGAUACUGGGAAGCUCGAGUCCGGAAGAGGUGAGUGGAACUCCGAGUGUAGAGGUGAAAUUCGUAGAUAUUCGGAAGAACACCAGUGGCGAAGGCGGCUCACUGGUCCGGUACUGACGCUGAGGUGCGAAAGCGUGGGUAGCAAACAGG
This 253-nucleotide ribosomal RNA is filed under the name uncultured bacterium. Its description in RNAcentral is "partial 16S ribosomal RNA". It matches the Rfam family "Bacterial small subunit ribosomal RNA", at positions 524 to 776 of the family's 1533-position model. The record is from RNAcentral.